Long non-coding RNA from Coregonus clupeaformis (lake whitefish), 274 nucleotides. RefSeq lists it as uncharacterized. The transcript has 3 exons. NCBI's taxonomy places the organism in Eukaryota, Metazoa, Chordata, Actinopteri, Salmoniformes, Salmonidae. The record is from RefSeq and is a predicted model, not a curated record.
UGUUGAAGUCCAAUCAAGCAGGAGACACCAGCCUCCCCUGUACCCAGCUGUGUGUCCAUGAAGAGUCACUGGUCUAUGGAUCCUCCUAUAAUGUUUAGAGAGGGAGACUUUUCUACUGAACAAAGUCCAAUCAAGCAGGAUACACCAGCCUCCCCUGUACCCAGCUAUGUGUCCAUGAAGAGUCACUGGUCUAUGGAUCCUCCUAUAAUGUUUAGAGAGGGAGACUUUUCUACUGAACAAAGAGAGAAGAGGAGAGACAGAGAGAAGAGGAGAG